UGCAGUCGAGCGGCAGCGACAUGAUAGAUACGCUUCGGUUGCAGAUCUACUUGGGCGGCGAGCGGCGGACGGGUGAGUAAUGCCUGGGAAUAUGCCUUGAUGUGGGGGAUAACUAUUGGAAACGAUAGCUAAUACCGCAUAAUGCCUUCGGGCCAAAGAGGGGGACCUUCGGGCCUCUCGCGUCAAGAUUAGCCCAGGUGGGAUUAGCUAGUUGGUGAGGUAAAGGCUCACCAAGGCGACGAUCCCUAGCUGGUCUGAGAGGAUGAUCAGCCACACUGGAACUGAGACACGGUCCAGACUCCUACGGGAGGCAGCAGUGGGGAAUAUUGCACAAUGGGCGCAAGCCUGAUGCAGCCAUGCCGCGUGUGUGAAGAAGGCCUUCGGGUUGUAAAGCACUUUCAGCAGUGAGGAAGGCGGGUACGUUAAUAGCGUGCUCGUUUGACGUUAGCUGCAGAAGAAGCACCGGCUAACUCCGUGCCAGCAGCCGCGGUAAUACGGAGGGUGCGAGCGUUAAUCGGAAUUACUGGGCGUAAAGCGCAUGCAGGUGGUUUGUUAAGUCAGAUGUGAAAGCCCGGGGCUCAACCUCGGAACAGCAUUUGAAACUGGCAGACUAGAGUACUGUAGAGGGGGGUAGAAUUUCAGGUGUAGCGGUGAAAUGCGUAGAGAUCUG
Molecule: ribosomal RNA, 670 nt
Filed under: bacterium SCSIO13085
Lineage: Bacteria
Description: bacterial SSU rRNA
Rfam family: Bacterial small subunit ribosomal RNA
Source: RNAcentral